GUCUCCGUCUGAUCCUGACCCUGUGCGCCACACCCCGGGCCGCGGGUCUGGUUUUGUCCCGUUUUAAGUGCGCCGCCUCUCGCAUGACACUGAUUCGCGGGACGACAUAUCAGGCGGCUGACGGUAAGCGGUCGGUUUUAGUCCCGAGCAGAUGCUCGCUCUCAAUAGCAGACAGCUGUCACUAUUGUUGUUUGUGGUCCGCCACAACCAUAUUUGCAGCUGCUACUACCGCGCGCCCAACAAUGAAGGAAGGGGGGGAGGAGGAGGGGGGGCUAAAACAUCGAUGGCGCGUGGCGGAUAAUAAUGCCGCGAUUAACCUUGGCGCGUGCAGUCGGCCGGGCUCCUCCCACCACCACCACCCGGAUUAAGUUACCGGGCAGGCGCCAUACUGUACUUAAUGAAGUUCCUCGUUAGAUGCUGUCCGUCUGAACCGCUGUUGCCUGGACAGAAGAGCGUAGCUUGACGCCCGGAAAGAUGGAUCUGACACAUCCAGCCUGACAAGAACACAAACCCUGAUCUCCUGGAUGAAAGUCCUGUGUGAGGCCCUCCACUCAACACUGUCUACUUUGGGACUUUGUCACUCUCUGUACUACGUCUAGUAGAGCAGUUCUACCAGUAAGACAGGGCAGGGCAGUGUGAUCAGACCUUAUCCAGGUCAUGCCAGGAGGGCAGGAGGUACCAGGAAGAAUGAAGUAAGUCCUCCGUCCUCCUCAAGGACUCCUUCUUCCAAGGUUUAUCCAGGAAUUGAAAGAGCAGCCCUGCCUCAAGAUAUAUGAACUGUGAUUCCUGAGAGCCCGAGUGCUUGUUGGAGAGGGUUUUUCGUGGCUUGUUGUUGUUGGCGUUAUUCUAUGCAUUCAUGCAUUAUGUCUGUGAUUGUGCUGGAAGUGGAAUACCUCAUGGAAUGCAGGGAUUGAGAAAAAACAGUGAAGGGCAAUCCCACCCUUAUUUGUAGUCACAUCGUGUUCUGUUAACUUUUAAUGCAGAUAAAUGCUGAAUGAUUUAAGUGUGUGCGUGUACUCAGGUAUGCUGUGAUGGGAGGUCUUAUCCCUUCAAAUAUGUAGCCCGAAGGUAAAAAGGAUGUAUCUUAGUGGAGAGCUGCAGGGGGAAUUGGCUCUCCAAAUGAAUGCAAACGUGACAUUUCGGGUUGAAUAAUCUUCAGCGGUCUGGACAAAUGUUGACAUUUUGUGAAAGUGAUCCAACUACAGAGACUGACAGUAAGCCAUGCUUGUAUCCCGCUUUCGUCUCAGCUGGAACUUUUAACACACGGGAAGAUAAAAAACUCUGUCCUGUGGAAUACCAAUCAGAAGAGCUCAGAGGUGGAGGAGGUACUCAGAUCUUGCACUCUAGUUAAGGUAGCGAUGCCACAGUGGAGGAACACUACAAGGAAAACAGGUUACAAGUAGAAGACAUGCAUUCCAAUUCAUACUUAAAGGAGCAACGUUUUACAGUGGGCCCAGGGCAAUUUGGGAAAUUAAGCUCGUCUUAGUUCAUUAAAAGAGAGAAAUUUGAA
Long non-coding RNA from Acanthopagrus latus (yellowfin seabream), 1510 nucleotides. RefSeq lists it as uncharacterized. The transcript is spliced from 4 exons. NCBI's taxonomy places the organism in Eukaryota, Metazoa, Chordata, Actinopteri, Spariformes, Sparidae. The record is from RefSeq and is a predicted model, not a curated record.